CCCCGAGGAAAAGAAAUCAACCGAGAUUCCCCCAGUAGCGGCGAGCGAACGGGGAGCAGCCCAGAGCCUGAAUCAGUGUGUGUGUUAGUGGAAGCGUCUGGAAAGGCGCGCGAUACAGGGUGACAGCCCCGUACACAAAAAUGCACAUGCUGUGAGCUCGAUGAGUAGGGCGGGACACGUGGUAUCCUGUCUGAAUAUGGGGGGACCAUCCUCCAAGGCUAAAUACUCCUGACUGACCGAUAGUGAACCAGUACCGUGAGGGAAAGGCGAAAAGAACCCCGGCGAGGGGAGUGAAAAAGAACCUGAAACCGUGUACGUACAAGCAGUGGGAGCACAGAGCAAUCUGUGUGACUGCGUACCUUUUGUAUAAUGGGUCAGCGACUUAUAUUCUGUAGCAAGGUUAACCGAAUAGGGGAGCCGAAGGGAAACCGAGUCUUAACUGGGCGUUAAGUUGCAGGGUAUAGACCCGAAACCCGGUGAUCUAGCCAUGGGCAGGUUGAAGGUUGGGUAACACUAACUGGAGGACCGAACCGACUAAUGUUGAAAAAUUAGCGGAUGACUUGUGGCUGGGGGUGAAAGGCCAAUCAAACCGGGAGAUAGCUGGUUCUCCCCGAAAGCUAUUUAGGUAGCGCCUCGUGAAUUCAUCUCCGGGGGUAGAGCACUGUUUCGGCAAGGGGGUCAUCCCGACUUACCAACCCGAUGCAAACUGCGAAUACCGGAGAAUGUUAUCACGGGAGACACACGGCGGGUGCUAACGUCCGUCGUGAAGAGGGAAACAACCCAGACCGCCAGCUAAGGUCCCAAAGUCAUGGUUAAGUGGGAAACGAUGUGGGAAGGCCCAGACAGCCAGGAUGUUGGCUUAGAAGCAGCCAUCAUUUAAAGAAAGCGUAAUAGCUCACUGGUCGAGUCGGCCUGCGCGGAAGAUGUAACGGGGCUAAACCAUGCACCGAAGCUGCGGCAGCGACGCUUAUGCGUUGUUGGGUAGGGGAGCGUUCUGUAAGCCUGUGAAGGUGUACUGUGAGGUAUGCUGGAGGUAUCAGAAGUGCGAAUGCUGACAUAAGUAACGAUAAAGCGGGUGAAAAGCCCGCUCGCCGGAAGACCAAGGGUUCCUGUCCAACGUUAAUCGGGGCAGGGUGAGUCGACCCCUAAGGCGAGGCCGAAAGGCGUAGUCGAUGGGAAACAGGUUAAUAUUCCUGUACUUGGUGUUACUGCGAAGGGGGGACGGAGAAGGCUAUGUUGGCCGGGCGACGGUUGUCCCGGUUUAAGCGUGUAGGCUGGUUUUCCAGGCAAAUCCGGAAAAUCAAGGCUGAGGCGUGAUGACGAGGCACUACGGUGCUGAAGCAACAAAUGCCCUGCUUCCAGGAAAAGCCUCUAAGCAUCAGGUAACAUCAAAUCGUACCCCAAACCGACACAGGUGGUCAGGUAGAGAAUACCAAGGCGCUUGAGAGAACUCGGGUGAAGGAACUAGGCAAAAUGGUGCCGUAACUUCGGGAGAAGGCACGCUGAUAUGUAGGUGAAGUCCCUCGCGGAUGGAGCUGAAAUCAGUCGAAGAUACCAGCUGGCUGCAACUGUUUAUUAAAAACACAGCACUGUGCAAACACGAAAGUGGACGUAUACGGUGUGACGCCUGCCCGGUGCCGGAAGGUUAAUUGAUGGGGUCAGCGCAAGCGAAGCUCUUGAUCGAAGCCCCGGUAAACGGCGGCCGUAACUAUAACGGUCCUAAGGUAGCGAAAUUCCUUGUCGGGUAAGUUCCGACCUGCACGAAUGGCGUAAUGAUGGCCAGGCUGUCUCCACCCGAGACUCAGUGAAAUUGAACUCGCUGUGAAGAUGCAGUGUACCCGCGGCAAGACGGAAAGACCCCGUGAACCUUUACUAUAGCUUGACACUGAACAUUGAGCCUUGAUGUGUAGGAUAGGUGGGAGGCUUGG
RNAcentral lists this ribosomal RNA (1928 nucleotides) under Escherichia coli. RNAcentral describes it as "partial 23S ribosomal RNA". It matches the Rfam family "Bacterial large subunit ribosomal RNA", at positions 209 to 2159 of the family's 2925-position model. Lineage: Bacteria; Pseudomonadati; Pseudomonadota; Gammaproteobacteria; Enterobacterales; Enterobacteriaceae. The record is from RNAcentral.